UCGCCCGGGCCGCGCGCCUCCGCCCCCUGCUCGCGCCGCCGCCGCCGCCGCGAGCGGGAGGAGGAGGAGGAGGAGGAAGGAGGGAGAGAAGAAGGGAAGGAGGGAGGCAGGUCCGGUGGCCCUCUCUGGUAGCCCCAGCGGCGAGGGAAAGAUGGCGACGCUGGGAGGCGAGUCGCAGCCCUUCCCCUCUGCUGCUCUGGCGGCGGCAGCCGGAGUGGGCGGCGGCGGCGGCAGCGGCAGCGGAGCGCUGGGUCUGCAGGCGCCGCUGACCCGCGGUCUGGAGCGGGCGCUGGAGGAGGCGGCGCACUCCGGGGGGCUCAACCUGAGCGGCAGGAAGCUGAAGGAGUUCCCGCGCAGCGCCGCCGCCCUCAGCCACGACCUCUCCGACACGGUGCGGGCAGAUUUAUCCAAGAAUAGGUUAACUGAAGUUCCUACGGAGUUGUGCCAUUUUGUGUCACUGGAAACACUAAAUCUAUACCACAAUUGUAUCAAAGUUAUACCAGAUGCCAUAGUAAACUUACAAAUGCUAACUUACUUAAAUUUGAGUCGAAAUCAGCUUUCUUCUUUGCCAGCUUGCCUGUGUGGUCUUCCUCUAAAAGUCUUAAUUGCAAGUAACAAUAAGCUAGGUUCCCUUCCAGAAGAGAUAGGUCAGCUAAAACAGUUAAUGGAAUUGGAUGUCAGCUGUAAUGAAAUCACAGCUUUGCCACAGCAGAUAGGCCAGCUGAAAUCUUUAAAAGAACUGAAUGUCAGAAGAAAUUACCUCGAAGUUUUACCCCAAGAACUAGUACAGCUUCCCUUGGUAAAGUUUGACUUUUCCUGCAAUAAAGUGCUUGUGAUUCCAAUUUGUUUUAGAAAGAUGGUGCAGUUACAAGUAUUACUGCUUGAGAAUAAUCCUUUGCAAUCUCCACCAGCACAAAUUUGUACAAAGGGUAAGGUGCAUAUAUUCAAAUAUCUAACUGUACAAGCAUGUCAGAUUAAAACAGCAGACUCGCUGUAUCUUAAUGCCAUUGAACCACAGCAUUUGCCACAACCUGUGGAAGAGAGCAUUGAUGACAUCUAUCCAAGUAAAAAGGACUCAGAUUCAGGUGUUGGUAGUGAUAAUGGUGAUAAACGUUUGUCAGCAACAGAGCCAUCUGAUGAAGAUACUAUCAGCUUUAAUGUUCCAAUGUCGGACAUUGUGGAAGAAGAUCAUAUUAUAAAGGAUGAUUCAAGUCACCAUGCUAACUCAAGAAAAGUGGAAUUCCAUCAAGGAUCUGCUCACACGUUUGUCAUUGAUGAGUCACGAGAAACAGGAAACCAGUUUGAUGAACAGGAUACUCUUACUACUGAAUUUAUGAGCUACAUUAAGAGCAGAGCAGCAGAGUGUGAUGAAUUACUGAGAAUAGAAGAGGACACGCAAUGGCAAGCAGACGAAAUAAUAAAUUUAUCAGAAGAACAAACUAUUGAUAUAGCAAUGAUAGAACAACUAAGAGAAGCUGUAGAUUUAUUACAGGAUUCCAACAGUGGUCAAAUACAGAUGGACAUGUCUUCUAUUGGUCAGAGAGAAAAUGCUGAAGAGGAACUGGAAUUCCAGAGGAGGAGGGACUUGAUUAUGGAGAAAGCAAAGCCUGAAGCAAGACCUUGUGAGCAGGGUGAAAAAUGGUCAUUGAGCCAGAAUGAUCUAAUUGUUUGGAACACAAGUGGGCAAACAUCUCACAAUGAGAAUAAGGAUAAAAGUCCAACAAUGUCUCCUACUACAAACACCACAAUCCCUUUUGGCCUGAAGCCACGAUCAGACCCAUCCCUCAGUUUUCCUCCUAUCUCCUUCAACACACUUACACAGGCACAAACAUGGGACAACUUUAGCUACAGUAUCCCAUCUGAAGGAGACAGUGACAAUGUGUUCUUAAGACCACAAAGAAAUUUGGAAUCAAUAGACCCACAGUUCACAAUUCGAAGGAAAAUGGAGCAGAUGAGAGAAGAGAGAGAGCUUGUGGAGCAGCUACGUGAGAACAUAGAAACAAGGCUAAAGAUCUGUUUGCCCGAGGACCUGGGCUCAGCCCUGAUGGACGGCGUCGUUCUGUGCCAUUUAGUGAACCACGUCCGCCCUCGCUCUGUCGGCAGCAUUCACGUGCCCUCACCAGCAGUACCUAAACUUAGCAUGGCCAAAUGCAGGAGAAACGUGGAAAACUUUUUGGAUGCAUGUAGAAAACUGGGGAUACCAGAGGCUGACCUCUGCUCUCCGUAUGACAUCCUGCAGUCGGAUAUUCGUCACAUUCGAAAGACUGUUGACACUCUGCUCGCCCUCGGGGAGAAACCCCCACAAUCAACUUCUACUUUUCGCUCCUGGGAUCUAUUAGGCUUUUGUCUUUUCCAUAUACUUUUUAUAGUCUUGAUGUAUAUAACUUAUCACUGGAAUUUGCUAACAGCAUAACCUGUUCGCAUGUGCGCACAAACUUUCUGCUUUGUCUCUGAAAAAUUACAGGAGAAGCUCUGCCUACCACAUCACAUCCUAGAAGAAAAGGGCUUGGUAAAAGUGAGCAUAACAGUUCAAGCAUUGCUAGAUGUAACCACAGUGAAACAAGCUUUAUUCACAUGAAACAACUCUCUCUGCUGUUACCAGCUACACUGUGCCAUGAACGAAUCAAAAAGCUGCCCAUUUUUACAAACUGCAUUGAAAACAACUCCAGUACUCCAAGAGUAUUCUUGUGAUUUUACACCCAUGUUUCAGACUGUACAUAUGUGUCGAACUACAAAGCAGAAACUGAACAGAAACAUUUUCUAGAGGAAGUUGGCACUUCACUGCUUUUCUAGCUCACUUUGUACAGUACUUACUAAAACAACACCUCUCUGCCACUUAAAAUCGUGUGGAGUACACAGCUGUCUUGCAGCAAGAUACCUUUGUAUUACUAAACUAAGAAUCACUGUAAUCACCUGGGGGGAGGGAAAAGGGAGAGUAAAUCAGACUGCUACCACCUUAGGUUUUUCUGCAGUUGCUUCAGGCUAUUGCCUUUUAAAAAUAUCCAGACAUUAAAUAUUUAUAUAAAUAUUAUUUAUUAGUGAGUUGUUAUUCAUCCUUUGGAUGCAAAAUGUAAAUUAGGAAACUGUAUUUUAUUACUGCUUUUUUUGUGGUUAAACACUUUAUUUUAAUAUAAAUACUUAGUUAUUUUUUAUUCUACUUGGUGUGCAGUAGCUCUAGAUCUCCGUAAAUUGUAUUUUCUAAUAUGUAAGAUAAAAAGCAAACAAAAUAGGUGCUUCUAUUAAAAGAACAGCUAGCUGGAAUGGCAUUCUUUAUUUCUUGAAUCUGUGGAACAUUGGUAAAAAAUUGUCUGCAUUCCAUUGAGUUUCCUACAUUCCAGUAACACCUCUCCCCUCACUAGAUAGACUAAAUUGGCUGAAAGUGAGAGCACACCCAUUUUAUUUGUAUAUAGAUGUUUAAAAACAAAAGGAAAUAUGUAAACUUGAAAAAUAAAUGUGAAAAAAUAUUUUUGAUUGCUUAUUUUGCUAUGCACAAAACAUUUAACUUUUGCCACAACAAAAUUAUUUAUGUGCAUUAGGAUCAUGUGUCUUGAAAUGUAAUUUUGCACUGUAACUUGACUUCUUUUAAAGAUUACAGCACUACAGAACAAAUAGUAAAAAAUAGCACAAGAAUUAACUAGUAGCCAAAAAAUUAACUUGUUUUCUUCAGUGAUUCCUUCAAGAGGAGACAAAAUGACUGAAAUUGCCAAAGGCAGUCUCAAAGACCUGAUCUUCCAGAUCCAACCUGCCUGGGUACAGUGUUUCUCUUUAAAAGUAUCCACAGAAUUAAGCACAAUGUUCUGUAGUGCACAUUUGCAGCACCAGACCUCUACUUCCACGUCAGCAAUAGGAAAUAAAAGUUCUUCUCCUUCUUACCACUUUACAUUUUUCAAAGAGGUUUUUAAAAGCAUACUUUAUUAUUAAGACAUGACUCAUUUUAGAUCAAAAAGUUCCAGCACAGCAAUUCUUCUGCUAUCUGGAACAUCCCAUUUUCAUUCACAGAAGAAGCCAGUGAUGGGACCUGGGCAAGCAGGACGGGGCAGCAGCAUGUGGUGAAAAGGGAAGCUGGCUGGGAACACACAAGCAGGGAGUUUGAAAUGUAGAGUGGCAAAAAAAAGAGGUAAGGGGGUGUGAGGACUAAAUAUUUAGGCAAGAGGAUGUGGAGAGAGCUAUUGUAUGAAGGCUUUUGGGCAGGGUGAUGCAUACUUGUCACUGCCCCCUCCCUAGGCACUGCCUCUAAACCCACCCAUGUUCAGCAGCAGAUGUGCUGAGCUUCAGACGGUGUCUGAACACAGAGCACACACUUCACCACCACCCCUUGCUCCAGGGCUGGGAGCAGUGACAGCAGCGUGUGAGGAGGAGCAGGAAAGGGGACUCGCAGACAAUGAGCCAGACAGUAUGCAUGGAAUAUCCAGUUACUUCAACCAAAGCAAAAACAUUUAUUUUAUAGAGGGAACAUAGACUUAAAUUGUAAUUUGAUUGGCAGCUAGCAUAUUGUUUCCUAUAAAAUGUACUGUGCACUUUAACACUAAAUGAAAAUGUAUUUUAAUAUUUUACAGAGCUGCACAAAUAUCUGUUCUGUCAAAAAGCAUGAGCAAUGUAAAGAAAAUAAGUUUUCAAGUCAGAGUUUAUCAAAUUUUAGAAGCAUUCAAGGAUCAAGUAUAAAAAUAGGAAUAUUGAUUUCUGCAUCUUGAGGGUAAAAAUGCAGGUUUCCUGAGUAUUUUUUUACAAUGUAUAUAUGGCAACAUGAAGCUUUGUAAUUAUUAUUAUUUUGAAAAAUCUUGUUUUUUCAUAAUUAAAAUUUUGUUUUCCUCCUGAUAGUGUCUUUCAGUAUUUGCUUGAAGUUGGCUGUAAAUAAAUAGCUCUAAGUAUUUUGUAAUACAGCUUUUUUUAUGCAGUCUUAACCUGUAUGGCUAAAAACAGAAUCUUCAUGAUCCUUUGUACAAUAUUUAUAUGUGCAAUAAAACAUGCAUGGCAAAUCUGUAAUACCCUCCACAGUGAACAUAAUGUAUAUAGAAAAUCUUUACUGUAGUUACAAUUAAACUAUAUUAUUUACAGAAACCCUUUAA
Molecule: RNA transcript, 5066 nt
Organism: Zonotrichia leucophrys gambelii
Lineage: Eukaryota; Metazoa; Chordata; Aves; Passeriformes; Passerellidae
Gene: LRCH1
Gene name: leucine rich repeats and calponin homology domain containing 1
Exons: 21
Source: RefSeq, a predicted model, not a curated record